GGUCUCGUAGUGUAGCGGUUAACACGGGGUUCGAAUCCCGUCGAGACCG
This 49-nucleotide transfer RNA is filed under the name Staphylococcus hominis. RNAcentral's name for it is "tRNA-Asp". Lineage: Bacteria; Bacillati; Bacillota; Bacilli; Caryophanales; Staphylococcaceae. RNAcentral also lists the same sequence under 1 other name. The record is from RNAcentral.